Non-coding RNA from Harpegnathos saltator (Jerdon's jumping ant), 75 nucleotides. Lineage: Eukaryota; Metazoa; Arthropoda; Insecta; Hymenoptera; Formicidae. The record is from Rfam.
CGUCAGGUAGCUCAGUAGUCUAGAGCAGUCGCCCGGCAAGCGAAAGGCACGGGUUCUCGAUUCCCGGUCUAGCGA